UGGGGAAUAUUGCGCAAUGGGGGAAACCCUGACGCAGCGACGCCGCGUGCGGGAUGAAGGCCUUCGGGUUGUAAACCGCUUUUGAUUGGGAGCAAGCUUUCGGGUGAGUGUACCUUUCGAAUAAGAGCCGGCUAACUACGUGCCAGCAGCCGCGGUAAUACGUAGGGCGCAAGCGUUAUCCGGAAUUAUUGGGCGUAAAGAGCUUGUAGGCGGUUCGUCGCGUCUGGUGUGAAAGCCCAUCGCUUAACGGUGGGUUUGCGCCGGGUACGGGCGGGCUAGAGUGCAGUAGGGGAGACUGGAAUUCCCGGUGUAACGGUGGAAUGUGUAGAUAUCGGGAAGAACACCAAUGGCGAAGGCAGGUCUCUGGGCUGUUACUGACGCUGAGAAGCGAAAGCGUGGGGAGCGAACAGG
This 411-nucleotide ribosomal RNA is filed under the name Bacteroidota bacterium. Its description in RNAcentral is "Bacteroidetes bacterium partial 16S ribosomal RNA". It matches the Rfam family "Bacterial small subunit ribosomal RNA", at positions 355 to 776 of the family's 1533-position model. Lineage: Bacteria; Pseudomonadati; Bacteroidota. The record is from RNAcentral.